Molecule: transfer RNA, 71 nt
Filed under: Mrakia frigida
Lineage: Eukaryota; Fungi; Basidiomycota; Tremellomycetes; Cystofilobasidiales; Mrakiaceae
Description: tRNA-Phe (GAA) (tRNA-Phe-GAA-3-1)
Rfam family: tRNA
About the family: Transfer RNA (tRNA) molecules are approximately 80 nucleotides in length.
Source: RNAcentral
GCUUAAGUCGUCCUGUGGCAGGACAUUUCCUUGAAGCGGAAACAAUCAGGGUUCGAUUCCCUGCUUAAGCA